GGAAUCUUUCACAAUGGGCGAAAGCCUGAUGGAGCAACGCCGCGUGCAGGAUGAAGGCCUUCGGGUUGUAAACUGCUUUUAUAAGCGAGAAAUAUGAUGGUAACUUAUGAAUAAGGAUCGGCUAACUACGUGCCAGCAGCCGCGGUCAUACGUAGGAUCCGAGCAUUAUCCGGAGUGACUGGGUGUAAAGAGUUGCGUAGGUGGCAUAGUAAGUAGGUAGUGAAAUCUGGUGGCUCAACCAUUCAGGCUAUUACCUAAACUGCUAAGCUCGAGACCGUUAGGGGUAACUGGAAUUUCUAGUGUAGGAGUGAAAUCCGUAGAUAUUAGAAAGAACACCGAUAGCGUAGGCAGGUUACUGGGGCGGUUCUGACACUAAGGCACGAAAGCGUAGGGAGCAAACG
RNAcentral lists this ribosomal RNA (401 nucleotides) under uncultured Candidatus Saccharibacteria bacterium. Its description in RNAcentral is "bacterial SSU rRNA". It matches the Rfam family "Bacterial small subunit ribosomal RNA", at positions 358 to 774 of the family's 1533-position model. Lineage: Bacteria; Candidatus Saccharimonadota. The record is from RNAcentral.